GACAGGAUGGCCGAGUGGUUAAGGCGGCAGUUUUGAAUUAUCCAAAUAAUCUAAAUUGGUUUACAAUCAGCUGCUUCACUUUGUGAGCGUGAGUUCAAACCUCACUCCUGUCG
RNAcentral lists this transfer RNA (113 nucleotides) under Phakopsora pachyrhizi. RNAcentral's name for it is "tRNA-Ser". It matches the Rfam family "tRNA". Rfam says of the family: Transfer RNA (tRNA) molecules are approximately 80 nucleotides in length. Their secondary structure includes four short double-helical elements and three loops (D, anti-codon, and T loops). Further hydrogen bonds mediate the characteristic L-shaped molecular structure. tRNAs have two regions of fundamental functional importance: the anti-codon, which is responsible for specific mRNA codon recognition, and the 3' end, to which the tRNAs corresponding amino acid is attached (by aminoacyl-tRNA synthetases). tRNAs cope with the degeneracy of the genetic code in two manners: having more than one tRNA (with a specific anti-codon) for a particular amino acid; and 'wobble' base-pairing, i.e. permitting non-standard base-pairing at the 3rd anti-codon position. The record is from RNAcentral. Lineage: Eukaryota; Fungi; Basidiomycota; Pucciniomycetes; Pucciniales; Phakopsoraceae.